GCACAAUUCUAUAUAAGCAGGCUCCGAAACUUGCCCCCUUCUUUUCAGCAGCGGUUGCCGGUGGUGCUGGGAGGCCUGGCCUCAGUCUCUUUAAGCCAGAAUGCCCGUUGCCAGAAGUUGGGUUUGUCGGAAGACAUAUGUCACUCCUAGGCGACCCUUUGAGAAAUCACGGCUUGACCAGGAGUUGAAGCUCAUUGGUGAAUAUGGACUGCGGAACAAGCGUGAAGUGUGGCGAGUGAAGUUCACCUUGGCCAAGAUCCGCAAAGCUGCCCGAGAGCUGCUCACCCUGGAUGAGAAGGAUCAGAGGCGCCUUUUUGAGGGCAAUGCCUUGCUACGUCGUCUCGUCAGAAUUGGGGUGCUGGAUGAGGGCAAGAUGAAACUGGAUUACAUCCUGGGCCUGAAAAUCGAGGAUUUCCUGGAACGGCGACUCCAAACCCAGGUCUUCAAACUGGGCCUGGCCAAAUCCAUUCAUCAUGCCCGGGUGCUUAUCCGCCAAAGACACAUCCGCCUGUGUGAGAAUGGCCACAGCACCGGCCCAGCUUGUGUGCCUUUUAGUCCCAGCAAGCUCCUUCCUUGACCAGGACCCUGGAUAGCCUAAUGGCCCACUAACUCAACCGAUGAGCCUGUGUGCAAAAAAACAAAAAAGUUUUCGGUAAGGCUCACUGCGGUUCCGCCGUACACCUUGCGAAGCUCUUGGCACUCAGGCCAGAGAGGCAACGACUAGCCAGCUGCCAUCUUUUGCAUCACAAAGCACUUCAGUGCCGGCAAGUGGUGUAAGGAAGCAGGUGGUGAACAUCCCUUCAUUCAUUGUCCGCCUGGAUUCUCAGAAGCACAUUGACUUCUCCCUCCG
Gekko japonicus is the source of this 850-nucleotide RNA transcript. It is a transcript of the gene named ribosomal protein S9, with no coding region annotated. NCBI's taxonomy places the organism in Eukaryota, Metazoa, Chordata, Lepidosauria, Squamata, Gekkonidae. The record is from RefSeq and is a predicted model, not a curated record. The transcript is spliced from 6 exons.